GCUAUAACGGCGCCAUCUUGGGCGUGAGUGCGGGCGGCUGGCCGGAGGUGUCUCGGAGCUAGUCCUUCCCGACCUCUGUUCCGUGGGUCGACACCGACGUGCAUUUCGAGCUCUAGGCCGGCUUAGGGGGCACGCGCUGAGAUGAUGCUGAGAGGAAACCUGAAGCAAGUGCGCAUUGAGAAGAACCCGGCGCGCCUCCGCGCUCUGGAGUCGGCGGCCGGAGAGGGGGACCCAGCGGCCCUGGCGCUCGCGCUGCCGGGGGAGCCGCCGGUGCCCGCCGCGCCCGCCGGGGAGGACCGGCCGGCUGACGAGGGCGGUUUCACCAUCGACAUAAAGAGCUUCCUUAAGCCGGGCGAGAAGACGUACACGCAGCGCUGCCGCCUCUUCGUGGGGAACCUGCCCACGGACAUCACCGAGGACGACUUCAAGCGGUUGUUCGAACGCUAUGGCGAGCCCAGCGAGGUCUUCAUCAACCGCGACCGCGGCUUCGGCUUCAUCCGCCUGGAGUCCAGAACACUGGCUGAAAUUGCAAAAGCAGAGCUGGAUGGCACCAUUUUGAAGAGCAGACCUCUCCGAAUUCGUUUUGCUACACAUGGAGCAGCCCUAACUGUUAAGAACCUUUCUCCGGUGGUUUCCAAUGAGCUUCUAGAGCAAGCAUUUUCCCAGUUUGGUCCAGUAGAGAAAGCUGUUGUUGUUGUGGAUGAUCGUGGUAGAGCUACGGGAAAAGGUUUUGUGGAAUUUGCAGCAAAGCCUCCUGCACGAAAGGCUCUGGAAAGAUGUGGUGAUGGGGCGUUCUUGCUAACAACGACCCCUCGUCCGGUCAUUGUGGAGCCCAUGGAACAGUUUGAUGAUGAAGAUGGCUUGCCAGAGAAACUAAUGCAGAAAACUCAGCAGUAUCAUAAGGAAAGAGAACAGCCACCACGUUUUGCUCAGCCUGGGACAUUUGAAUUUGAAUAUGCAUCUCGAUGGAAGGCUCUGGAUGAAAUGGAGAAGCAGCAGCGUGAGCAGGUUGACAGAAACAUCCGAGAAGCAAAAGAGAAACUGGAGGCGGAGAUGGAAGCUGCCCGGCACGAGCACCAGCUGAUGCUCAUGCGGCAAGAUUUAAUGAGACGGCAAGAGGAACUCAGACGUUUGGAAGAACUCAGAAACCAAGAGCUACAAAAACGAAAGCAAAUACAGCUGAGGCAUGAGGAAGAGCACCGUCGUCGUGAAGAGGAAAUGAUCCGACACAGAGAACAGGAGGAGCUGAGGCGACAGCAGGAGGGCUUUAAGCCAAACUAUAUGGAAAAUGAGAAAAGGAAACAUGGAUGAAGCUACCUGAAAUUUGGCUUCCUGUGUGAGCCCAAAGUUGCAAGCUGAGGAGAACUUGCCAGUGUCCUUUCAGUGGUCUUGGGGAGCAGGAAUGUCAGCCUUUCCUGAGCACAGCUUGUGAGAUGAGACCGAUGGCAUCAGACCACUGGCUUAAUAGGGUCCCAGGGGAUCUGCAUCCACAGUCAAAUCAUUCUGUGGAAGAAAUGAACAACAAGGGAGAAAUGAACCAGAAGAAUCUUGUUUUAUUUUUCAAUUUAUUACCACUCCAUUAUAAACAACCUGUGGAUAGAUGAGCAGUCAUGGCACUUUAUCCAGCCCAUGAGUAAAGCUCUUCUGUACCAGUUGGGAGAAGUCAGGCCUGGAAACGCCAGGUUUGGCUGGAAAAGAGCUUCAUCACCUACAGGUCAGCAGAGGGAAGUGGUGUGGACGCCCUCAGUGGCCUGAGCUUACCUAGCAAUAUUUUUCAAAGUAACUUAAAAGGCUUUGUACUGUAUUAUGCUGUGAAAUAGAUUUUACUACAUUCAUGAAUUUUCUAAAUUCUCAAAGACUUUAAAAAUUAUAUAUUUGGCCAUGUGGGAUCUUAACUCCCUGAUUGGGGAUUGAACCCGCACCCCCUGCAUUGGAAGCAUGGAGUCUUAACCACUGGACUGCCAGGCAAGUCUCAAAUUUUUCUGAAUUCUUAUUUUAUAAAUCACUUUUUGUUAUUCUUAUAUCUGUGUCCUACUGUUGUUAUAAGGCAUUAAUUAAUCAUAAAACGCUCUAAAGUCUGUCAGCUUUCUGUAUGCUAAAGUCUUACUACUAAAUAAACUAGUAAAUUCUCAUGUGACAA
Molecule: RNA transcript, 2140 nt
Organism: Dama dama (fallow deer)
Lineage: Eukaryota; Metazoa; Chordata; Mammalia; Artiodactyla; Cervidae
Gene: PSPC1
Gene name: paraspeckle component 1
Exons: 10
Source: RefSeq, a predicted model, not a curated record